GUUGAGAGAAAAACAUAUCUAACCUGGGGUGUAGCUAUCCUCUCUUCUGUCAGCAGACUAUUCUGGAUCAGCAGUCCAAGUGACAGUGAAAGUUGGUGCUAAGUCAGGAUCAGCCACCGGAGAAAGUAAAAGUGUCCAACCAAAGAAAAUGGCUUCAAAUGGAGUAUCUAUGAUGAUUCUAUUCUUUAUCUCCAUCUCUGCUAUCAGUAUUUCUUGGUCUCAAAACCCACAAGCCUUUCAAAGGAAACAUAUGACAUUUCUGGAUAACAUAGACCACAACAGAUGCAACAGUGAGAUGCAAAAUAGAAGGAUUUCUUUGACUAGGAGUGGAUGCAAACGGCUCAACACAUUCAUCCAUGCCCCUGAGAAGCUUAUUGACCAAACCUGUGUGCUGGGGAAACCAUAUGUGAUCCAAAAUUUGGAAUAUAAGAAGAGCAGCAUGAAAUUUCGUGUGACAAGUUGCAGACUUUCUCAGGAAUAUGGAAAAGAUUGCAAGUACAAGGCAGAAGAGAGCAGAUGGAAAUAUAUUGUGGUUUCGUGCAACCAAAAUGAUCGUCCAGUCCAUCUGGCAGGGAUACUUACCUGGUAAAGCAAGACGAUGAACAAAUUUGUUUCUCAAGUAGUUGCUUUAUUUUAUGAGUACAGUAAUGCAUUUUUUCUGUAGAUUCUAGAGAGAAAAACUUAUUCUGUUGUGCCAAUAUCUUUUUUUAAACCCUCUGAUUUAGUUUUGGUGCCUUGAAAGAAAACUAGGUUGAGUUUUUUUCUGAAAUUCGAUAUAUCAAGCAGAUCAGUGGUGGUAUUCUGCUGGUUCUAACCAGUUCGGAUGAACCAGUAGUGAUGGUGGGAGGCUCCGUCCACCUGCCCGAACAUCAUCACAUCCCAUUUUUUAUGCUCUGCACAUGUGUAGAUCUUGCAUACGCAUGGAAUGGCGUGUGCAAAUGAAGCGAGUGUGCUUGCACGCUCACAUUUGUGAACCGGUAGCACAGGUACCAUAUUUUUCGGAGUAUAAGACGCACCAGAGUGUAAGACACACCUUAGUUUUUGGGGAGGAAAAUAAGAAAAAAAGCUGAUUGGCAGGUAGAUCGGCCUCCGGAAUACCCCCAAUCAGCUGUUCCCAGAGGUGAAUUUUAGCAACGGUUCCUUGGUUAUGAGCUCUGUGCCCUGCUUUUUUUUCUGCCUCUGAAAGCUUCAGAAACAGAUCUUCAGAAAAAAAGCCUCUGAAGCUCUGUUUGGGAGCUUCUUUUCUGAAGCUCUGGGGCUUUUUUUCUAAGCUCCGUUUGGAGCUUUUUUUUAAAGCUCCGUUUGGGGCUUUUUUCAGCCUCUGAAACCUCCGUUUGAGAAGCUGGGCAGGGCUACAUUCAAAGUAUAAGACGCACCCAGAUUUUCACCCUCUUUUUUGGGGGAAAAAGAUGCGUCUUAUAUUCCGAAAAAUACGAUAAGUGAAUACCACCACUGAAACAGAUGCUGAAAAAGAUAGGGCCAGGGUUAUUUUGCUGUCCUUUAGAAGUGCAUAGCUGGGGUGUAAAAUUGUCCUUCAACACUCUGAAGGAGAACCUGAGAAAUAUAAAUCAACUGGAUGGAUGAUUCUCUUUUCUAGUAAUUACAAGAUAUUUGAGGAAAUGAAAUGGCUUCCCAGAUAGUCUCUGAGUUUGUGCUGGUUUUGUUCCCUGUUUGAAACUAAUUCUUGUGCAAGGGCAGAAUCCAAUUAGACAUUUCUAAUUACCUACCAAGUCAACCCACAGUUUCUAUACUCCGACUCAAGUGCUGCACAAUGGAGUGAGCUCCCAUCUUUGCCCAGCUGGCCACCUAACAGUUUGAGUGCACGCAAAUUUGAGUAGAUAAAUAGGUACCACUUUGGUGGGAAGGUAACAGUGUUCUGUGCACCUUGGCAUUUAUUCAUGCUGGCCACAUGACCAUGGAAAUAUCUUCAGACAACACUGGCUCCCUCACUAAGAAAUGGAGAUGAUCACUGCUCCCUAAAGUCUUCUGUUGUGAAUGGGUUUCCUAAUUUGCACUAUUUAGUCUAUCAAAGCUAUUGUUGCAGUUUUCAUAUCGUGUAGAAAAUUGUUAAAACAUAAUUUGUAAGUAUAACUGUUGCACAGUUUAGCAAUUUAAAUAUCUACAUAUCAUUCUCUAAACAGUUUUUAUUCUA
Ahaetulla prasina is the source of this 2152-nucleotide long non-coding RNA. RefSeq lists it as uncharacterized. The record is from RefSeq and is a predicted model, not a curated record. NCBI's taxonomy places the organism in Eukaryota, Metazoa, Chordata, Lepidosauria, Squamata, Colubridae. The transcript is spliced from 2 exons.